AAAGCAGGGGAUCGUAAGACCUUGCGCUUUUGGAGUGGCCGAUGCCUGAUUAGCUAGUUGGUGGGGUAAAGGCCUACCAAGGCGACGAUCAGUAGUUGGUCUGAGAGGACGACCAGCCACACUGGGACUGAGACACGGCCCAGACUCCUACGGGAGGCAGCAGUGGGGAAUUUUGGACAAUGGGCGAAAGCCUGAUCCAGCAAUGCCGCGUGAGUGAAGAAGGCCUUCGGGUUGUAAAGCUCUUUCAGUCGAGAAGAAAAGGUUGUGACUAAUAAUCACAACUUAUGACGGUACCGACAGAAGAAGCACCGGCUAACUACGUGCCAGCAGCCGCGGUAAUACGUAGGGUGCGAGCGUUAAUCGGAAUUACUGGGCGUAAAGGGUGCGCAGGCGGCUUUGUAAGUCAGAUGUGAAAUCCCCGGGCUUAACCUGGGAAUUGCGUUUGAAACUACAAAGCUAGA
This 461-nucleotide ribosomal RNA is filed under the name uncultured ammonia-oxidizing beta proteobacterium. Its description in RNAcentral is "bacterial SSU rRNA". It matches the Rfam family "Bacterial small subunit ribosomal RNA", at positions 202 to 645 of the family's 1533-position model. Lineage: Bacteria; Pseudomonadati; Pseudomonadota; Betaproteobacteria. The record is from RNAcentral.